AUUGAACGCUGGCGGCAUGCUUUACACAUGCAAGUCGAACGGUAACAGGCCUUCGGGUGCUGACGAGUGGCGAACGGGUGAGUAAUGCAUCGGAACGUACCCAGAGGUGGGGGAUAACGCAGCGAAAGCUGUGCUAAUACCGCAUGUGAUCUGAGGAUGAAAGCGGGGGACCGAGCAGCAAUGUUUGGCCUCGCGCCUUUGGAGCGGCCGAUGUCGGAUUAGCUAGUUGGUGGGGUAAGGGCCUACCAAGGCGGCGAUCCGUAGCUGGUCUGAGAGGACGACCAGCCACACUGGGACUGAGACACGGCCCAGACUCCUACGGGAGGCAGCAGUGGGGAAUUUUGGACAAUGGGCGCAAGCCUGAUCCAGCAAUGCCGCGUGCGGGAAGAAGGCCUUCGGGUUGUAAACCGCUUUUGGCAGGAACGAAACGGUGUCCGCUAAUACCGGGCGCUAAUGACGGUACCUGCAGAAUAAGCACCGGCUAACUACGUG
RNAcentral lists this ribosomal RNA (492 nucleotides) under uncultured bacterium. RNAcentral's name for it is "partial 16S ribosomal RNA". It matches the Rfam family "Bacterial small subunit ribosomal RNA", at positions 29 to 507 of the family's 1533-position model. The record is from RNAcentral.